UGGGGAAUUUUGGACAAUGGGCGCAAGCCUGAUCCAGCCAUGCCGCGUGCGGGAAGAAGGCCUUCGGGUUGUAAACCGCUUUUGUCAGGGAAGAAAUCUUCUGAGUUAAUACCUCGGGAGGAUGACGGUACCUGAAGAAUAAGCACCGGCUAACUACGUGCCAGCAGCCGCGGUAAUACGUAGGGUGCAAGCGUUAAUCGGAAUUACUGGGCGUAAAGCGUGCGCAGGCGGUUUUGUAAGACAGAGGUGAAAUCCCCGGGCUCAACCUGGGAACUGCCUUUGUGACUGCAAGGCUUGAGUGCGGCAGAGGGGGGAUGGAAUUCCGCGUGUAGCAGUGAAAUGCGUAGAUAUGCGGAGGAACACCGAUGGCGAAGGCAAUCCCCUGGGCCUGCACUGACGCUCAUGCACGAAAGCGUGGGGAGCAAACAGGAUUAGAUA
RNAcentral lists this ribosomal RNA (438 nucleotides) under uncultured bacterium. RNAcentral describes it as "partial 16S ribosomal RNA". It matches the Rfam family "Bacterial small subunit ribosomal RNA", at positions 355 to 784 of the family's 1533-position model. The record is from RNAcentral.